GGGGAUAGCCUUUGGAAACGAAGAAUAAUACCCUAUAAAACCAUAAAAGCACAUGCUAGAAUGGUCAAAGUGAUAGCGGUGUAAGAUGGACUUGCGUCUGAUUAGCUAGUUGGUGAGAUAAAAGCUCACCAAGGCAACGAUCAGUAGCCGGCUUGAGAGAGUGUACGGCCACAUUGGGACUGAGACACGGCCCGG
Molecule: ribosomal RNA, 195 nt
Filed under: uncultured Eubacteriales bacterium
Lineage: Bacteria; Bacillati; Bacillota; Clostridia; Eubacteriales
Description: uncultured Clostridiales bacterium partial 16S ribosomal RNA
Rfam family: Bacterial small subunit ribosomal RNA
Source: RNAcentral